Molecule: long non-coding RNA, 1147 nt
Filed under: Solanum tuberosum (potato)
Lineage: Eukaryota; Viridiplantae; Streptophyta; Magnoliopsida; Solanales; Solanaceae
Description: long non-coding RNA (STUB_LNC004810)
Source: RNAcentral
GGCAAAAUGGUCUGGUGGACCCUUAUACUUGUAUGUGUUUGUAUUGUGAACCCUUCUACUUGUCUAUUUGUCAUCUGAACCCCUGAACUUAUUGAAACACAAUAUUUUAAACACUAUUUCUGACUUGGCAUCCUAUGUGGCAUCUAAUACCAGAGUGCGUGUAAAACACACCUAUUAGGAGCGUGAGACCCUUGAAAAAGGGUCUAAAAGUCACAUUAGGACUUUGUAAAGCCAUCAUCUUCCUCUUUGCGUCUAACACCAUUGUUGGAUAGAAUUUGAGGUUUUCUUGGCCUCUUUUCCGAUCUUUUUCCCAAAAAUUUCUUCUCUAUCGUUUCUUGUUAUUAUACGACUCUUUUUUUUUAUUUUAUGAAAAAUCGCCAUGGAAGGCAUACAACUACUACCAAAGCAUCUUACACUAACAUUAGGCACAAAAAUGCAAAAUCCCCAAAAAAUUUCAACAAAAUCAAUGUAAUUGAUUAAAACCCCAAAACCAAACAAAGACACAAAUAGAUCAAAUCCAAACUAAACAACAAAUAAAUUCGAAAAUAAAUUGAAAAACCUACCAAGAUAAGUUGAAAAUCAAACAAAAAAAACUCAAUAAUUUUUUACAUUGACCCCUUGUUUUAGUUCCAAACCAAACCCAAACUUAUUGCCUUCUUCUUGUCCUCCUCACCUUCUCCGACCAAACUGCCUUCGUUCUCACCAUUUCCGACAAGCUUCAACCAACAACUAUAAAUGAGAACCAACAACAACAACAACAAAAACCCCAAACUAACUCCGCCAAUAAGUCUCGACUUUCACAACGCCCCAGUUGUGAACAACUAGAAACAAUCAGACCAUCCAAUAGAUCCCCACUUUUCCUUAGCGCCACCGGUCACCACCAAACCCUAAUCGAACAGAACUCAAAAUCGACUCCGAACUUCGAUGAGAUUGUGAACAACCAGAAAUCGUGCCAAUAUUUUUUACUUCAAUAAAAAGAGUAGAAGAGGUUGGAAAAUGGAAAAAGGAAAAGGGUAAGGAAGAUAAGAAAAAGUUGAAAUGAGAUUGUGUGAUGGAGAUGCAGAUGGCUAUGGCAAAGAGAUAAAAAUUGGAAAGAAAAAGUGUAGGUAUAUUAAUCAAUUAUAAUAAAAGGAAAAAUGACAUGGAG